UGUGUAUAUAGUUACUCUCUCUAUAUAUAUGUGUGUGUGUGAAGCUGGGCGCCGGCUAAUCAAGCGCUGCGGCGCACAAUAAAAUCGUCGAGCUAAGCAACUUUUUUCUUGAGUUUUUCCCUUUUGCUGCGGCGGCUGUCGCUCACUUUUUUCAUUGCCUGCCAUCAUUUUCCGCAUGUGUACAUGUGUGCAUGUGCGUGUGCGUGUGUGUGUGUGUGUCAAUGUGCGUGUGUGUGCGUAAGUCUGUCAUAUAGAAAGGAUAAAAUAUUUGCGCAUUGAUUUUCGACCAACGCAACUGUGACAGCAACAAAGUGGAUCAACAACAACAAGAACAACAACAACAACAAGAACAACAACAGCAACUUUAACAACAACAACAACAAGUUUUGGACAACCAUUUUACUGGGGGUCGCAAACGGAACCCAACGCCGAGUCUGAUUAAAGCGAUAAAGCUUUUACUUGCGAAGCACACAACAUUUAGAAGGUAAA
Molecule: small RNA, 489 nt
Filed under: Drosophila mojavensis
Lineage: Eukaryota; Metazoa; Arthropoda; Insecta; Diptera; Drosophilidae
Description: GI25889
Source: RNAcentral